This 525-nucleotide ribosomal RNA is filed under the name Cambalomorpha fortis. RNAcentral describes it as "Glyphiulus sp. 2 XKJ-2022a partial large subunit ribosomal RNA". It matches the Rfam family "Bacterial large subunit ribosomal RNA", at positions 1830 to 2624 of the family's 2925-position model. Lineage: Eukaryota; Metazoa; Arthropoda; Diplopoda; Spirostreptida; Cambalopsidae. The record is from RNAcentral.
CCUAUUAAGGGAUAGUUCUAGAAUUAGGCCUGCUCACUGAUAUUUUAAAGAGCUGCAGUAUUUUAACUGUACGAAGGUAGCAUAAUCAUUAGUUUUUUAAUUGGAGACUGGUAUGAAAGGUUAGACGUAAUUUAACUGUCUUUAUUGUAAUUAAUGAAGUUAAUUUGUUUGUGAAAAAGCACUAAUAGGGUAAAGGGACAAGAAGACCCUAUUAAAUUUAAAUAUAAUGGGUAUUGUUUUACAUAUAAGUUAGCUAUAUUUGUUGUAUUUUGUUUGGGGCGAAUGGUAUUAAUUGUACAGUAUCAUAAUUUAAUAGUUUAUAUGACAUUUAUUUGGUCUAGUAUUGGCUAAGUAUAAGAAAGAAUUACUGUAGGGAUAACAGCGUAAUAUUUUUUGAGAGUUCAUAUUGACAAAUAUGUUUGCGACCUCGAUGUUGGAUUAAGGAGUCUGUUUGGCGUAAAGGUUAUAUCAGAUAGUCUGUUCGACUAUUAAAUUCUUACAUGAUCUGAGUUCAAACCGGAGAAA